Molecule: RNA transcript, 2897 nt
Organism: Felis catus (domestic cat)
Lineage: Eukaryota; Metazoa; Chordata; Mammalia; Carnivora; Felidae
Gene: STX4
Gene name: syntaxin 4
Exons: 13
Source: RefSeq, a predicted model, not a curated record
GUGGAAUCUUGGGGGUACCCAAGGUCGGCUUCUUCGCAUUGACUGUGGAUGGUACCUGGCACAGAGCCUCUGGUGGCUCGUGGGGAGCUUGGGGGUCCGCAGGGUGAGGGCGGAGGGGAGUGUCAGUGUCAGAGUGUGAGUGGGGUACGGGAGUUCUAAACUUAGUCUUGAGGCCCUCGGGUCUCCCGUGCCGGGGAAGGGAGCUCGGGCCGCCAUGCGCGACAGGACCCACGAACUGAGGCAGGGGGAUGACAGUUCGGACGAUGAGGACAAGGAGCGGGUCGCGCUGGUGGUACACCCGGGCACAGUACGGCUGGGGAGCCCGGACGAUGAGUUCUUCCAAAAGGUCUGGACAAUUCGACAGACUAUUGUCAAGCUGGAGAAUAAAGUCCGAGAGUUGGAGAAGCAGCAGGUCACCAUCCUGGCCACGCCCCUUCCCGAGGAGAGUAUGAAGCAGGACCUGCAGAACCUGCGUGAUGAGAUCAAACAGUUGGGGAGGGAGAUCCGAGCGCAGCUGAAGGCCAUAGAGCCCCAGAAGGAGGAAGCUGAUGAGAAUUAUAACUCAGUCAACACAAGGAUGAAAAAAACCCAGCAUGGGGUCCUGUCCCAGCAAUUCGUGGAGCUCAUCAACAAGUGCAACUUGAUGCAGUCGGAAUAUCGGGAGAAGAAUGUGGAGCGGAUUCGGAGGCAGCUGAAGAUCACAAAUGCUGGAAUGGUGUCUGACGAAGAGCUGGAGCAGAUGCUGGACAGUGGGCAGAGUGAGGUGUUUGUAUCCAAUAUACUGAAGGACACACAAGUGACUCGACAGGCCCUAAAUGAGAUCUCAGCCCGGCACAGUGAGAUCCAGCAGCUUGAACGCAGUAUCCGUGAACUUCAUGAGAUCUUCACUUUUCUGGCUACUGAAGUGGAGGUGCAGGGGGAGAUGAUCAACCGGAUUGAGAAAAACAUCCUGAGCUCAGCAGACUAUGUGGAACGGGGGCAGGAACAUGUCAAGAUGGCCCUGGAGAACCAGAAGAAGGCACGGAAGAAAAAAGUUUUGAUCGCCAUCUGUCUGUCUGUCACUGUCCUCAUUGUGGCAGUGAUCAUUGGUGUCUCCAUAUUGGUUUGAGAACAUCGCACGUUCUUGGUCCCUGCUGCUGAUGACGCUGCUGCUCCAAGCCGCCCUUGCCCAGCCCAUCUGGCCACAGUACCGCUUGCUUCGGCUACACACAUAUAGUUGCUGGGGUGACACGAGUCAUGGAAGGGCUGGACGUGUGUCCCUCGGUGCAGUCUCAUUCUCCGCCCCUGGGCCUGGCCUGGGGGAAGGAGCCGGGGGGUGGGGUUAGGCCCCGAUGAUCCCUGCCUGCUCUGCCUCCAUCCAUCUGGGCUCCCGCCUGCAGCGCCUCCCCGUGGCCCUCAAGUGACCCUGGCGCGGCUGUUGCAAGGCGCCUGCGCCAGAUCCAGGUCCAAGCGUAAGCUUGGCUCUGAGUCUAGGAGGCGUGGCCUUGUGGGAAUUGGAAAAUGAUUGGCCAGCGGAACUAAAUGUUGUUCCUAAAGCGCAUCGGGAUUGGCCUGUUAGACGUCCUGGGGAAGUGAACACUGGGUAUUAAACCACAAUUAACCAAAGGCUGAUAUGGGAGGGGCCUCAGCGAGUCCUCAGUUGCACCCAAAAGUGAUUGGAUCACAGGGCGUCGGGGGCAUGAUCAAAACUCUAACAGGCGGAGGGGCACGAACUUGUGAGUCUGCCUGGGGUAGUGAGUCUGGGACUUCACCCAAGAAGGCGUGGCUGGGUCCCUCUCCCUCUUCGCUGAACUGGGCAGCUGUGCAAGUCUUGGAGGGUACCCAUUCCUCCGUCCUGCCUGAGAUCGUGUAUCCCGUGUACAGAUGAAGCCCUAGACAUCUACAGGAAAGGUGUGCAAACACAAUCUGGAUGUCGGCUCAAUGGGAAAACUGCGAGGUAGGACGGAUCCUGCCCCAGUAGAAGACUGAUUUGAAUACGGGGCCUCUGGGUUUCCCUAAUUCUCCCUCUCUUCCCCUGCGGCCUGCAUCUUCAGCGGAACUCUGUCCUGUUGUUCGCCUUUGCCCACGCACUCACCUUUCUGCCUUCAGAGGAAAACUGCACGACCUGUGGCACCUACUGGGAUCUGAUAGGAGACUAUCAGACCAAGGCAAAGACUGUGUCACAUCUACGCAGCUGGGUAAUGCAGCUGGGUAUCCGUGUGGGGUAUGUGACUUCUGAUCGGUUUUGCUAGACGGCGUCACCCCUGAAAGCCUGUUUACCUCUCUGUCUCACCCAGGAAGCUGUGCAGAACCUCCUGAAAGAGGUAGCUAGAUGGCCCAGUGAGGUCUCGGAUGCUGGCCUGGUAGUUUGAACUUUUCCUGUGGGCUAGGGGACACAUGGAAGGGUUUUGAACAGAUUGAGGCUGUUCCUCCAGACUGGAUUCUGGAAGGAAGAUGAUAUAGAACAGAGCCACAGCUGUCCCAUGGAAGAUGUUGUACAACAUCCUCUGGCGCUUCCCAAGUGAAAUUGGAAAUUGGCCCCUGUACACAGAGGGCAGGGGAAAUCAAACAAAAAGACAGGGCCACUGCAGAUUGAGACUCUCUAUUCAGUUCUCCUUUCCUGUCUCCAAGACAACUGGCAUACCAAAAUGAGCUGUGGUGGUGCUACAAGGUCUGAGGCUUUGCCCCACAAAUGGCACUAUUACAAAGGACUUGUUCAAAAGGAAAAAAGAGAAAGUAAAACCCAAACUUCCCUUAAGUGUAUGGAUGUCUGCCCUCCCAAGAAGCCCCAACAUAAUGGAUAGUAAGUGGAAAUUCUGUGUUUGUGAAUGGGUACAGCUGCAUGAAACAGAGACGCAAACUAACCAUGGCAUGACGUCAUCAGUACCCAUGAACAACAACAACAAAAUAGUAAAUUA